UGGGGCAUCGUCUAACGGUAGGACUACGGAUUCUGGCUCCGUCAAUCGUGGUUCGAAUCCACGUGCCCCAGCCA
RNAcentral lists this transfer RNA (74 nucleotides) under Deinococcota bacterium. Its description in RNAcentral is "Deinococcus-Thermus bacterium tRNA-Gln". It matches the Rfam family "tRNA". Rfam says of the family: Transfer RNA (tRNA) molecules are approximately 80 nucleotides in length. Their secondary structure includes four short double-helical elements and three loops (D, anti-codon, and T loops). Lineage: Bacteria; Thermotogati; Deinococcota. RNAcentral also lists the same sequence under 3 other names. The record is from RNAcentral.